UACGUAGGGUGCAAGCGUUAAUCGGAAUUACUGGGCGUAAAGCGUGCGCAGGCGGUUGUGCAAGACCGAUGUGAAAUCCCCGGGCUUAACCUGGGAAUGGCAUUGGUGACUGCACGGCUAGAGUGUGGCAGAGGGGGGUAGAAUUCCACGUGUAGCAGUGAAAUGCGUAGAGAUGUGGAGGAAUACCGAUGGCGAAGGCAGCCCCCUGGGAUAACACUGACGCUCAUGCACGAAAGCGUGGGGAGCAAACAGG
This 253-nucleotide ribosomal RNA is filed under the name uncultured bacterium. Its description in RNAcentral is "partial 16S ribosomal RNA". It matches the Rfam family "Bacterial small subunit ribosomal RNA", at positions 524 to 776 of the family's 1533-position model. The record is from RNAcentral.